Peromyscus californicus insignis is the source of this 1656-nucleotide long non-coding RNA. RefSeq lists it as uncharacterized. The record is from RefSeq and is a predicted model, not a curated record. The transcript is spliced from 2 exons. NCBI's taxonomy places the organism in Eukaryota, Metazoa, Chordata, Mammalia, Rodentia, Cricetidae.
ACUUGUCCGUCCUCGCAGCCCUACACGGCUGCAGAGUUAGUAAUGUAAUAUUCAGGGACCCCGAGACCGGAAAUGCCUGGAGCUGGAAAGCUGCACUUGAAACGCGAGAGAAGGGCUAGAGAAAGUGAACGUGGGAUGGAGACGUAGGUGGUGUGUGGGGUGGAGUGAGGAGGUGAAAUGCCGCCCAAGUUGCAAUUCAGGGGUAGGCGAGGAAGAAAACGGGGGGUGUGGGGGAGGCGGAGGCAGUUGCAAAGUCAAAAUUCCAGGAGCCGGAGGAGGAGGUGGAGGUGGAAGGAGACAUGAGGACCGAGGCAGGGUGAGGGGGCCACACACACACACACACACAAAGACUCUGCAGGUGAUGCCGAACUGGAUUUAGGGACACUAGAGGUGACCCUCACACGCCUAGGAGGGUGGGGACCCGGAAUCCCAGCAGCAAGUGCUCUGCAGGAAAGUACGAUCGCUGGAGUUGCUAGUGGCGAAGCCGAAGAGGAAGGAGCUGUAUCCAAUCCCUCCAAGUUUUGUUCCAGCACCUUAGAUCUACUCAUGUUGACACAGCACCUGCAGCCGGUUAGUCUCACUAGGGGAUGGGUGAUGCUGUGUAACUAUAUAAUAGACAGUCAUGUUCUGCCACUGACGAAUGUGCUGUGUGACCUUGAGCAAGCGAAUUUGCCUCUCUGGGCUUUUCUUUCUCUGUGGAGUUGAGGUAAGGUGUUCUGCGUGUCUCAAGAUCUCUUCCAACACUAAUACUCCCUCUGAAAAUUCCCAUUCCCAGCCUUAGUAUAAACAUCGCUUCAGUGAGUUUGAAUUCUCGGGAGCCGUCUUGGCACAUCUGGAUGGACUUGGUCUGGAUGCCCCCCUGACUCAUUUGCCCAGCCCUCCUUUCCCCCCAUCACUCUGUCCUUCUCCUACACGGCCUCUCUGCCUGACACCCUCAGUUCUUCCCAUCCAGAAGUGAUUUUCCUAAAACUUAAACCUGACAUCCUUCUGUUUAAAAUGGUUUUCAAGAAGCUGAGGCAAGAGGAUUACAUUUUCUGUUAGUCUGGGUUAUGUAGUGACUAGCUGAAAAGAAAAAAUGAGUAAGAACACCCUUUGCCGACUCCCGCUGCCUUGUGGGUAGGGAUAUCAAAGACUUUCAACAUUCUGCCCGUUUCUUUGGCCCCACGGAUGUUUUUCUUUUUCGGUCUUGUGUUUUAAUAAGCCACACUUAAACUCGGUCCAGCUGCACUGAGCUGCUGCUAUUCUGCUUGAAGCGCCCAGACCUCGACAUCGCUUCCUUGUCUUUGCACUUACUUUUCUUUUCCCCUGGAGUGUUCUCCGACUUCCAGUUGUGCUGGCUGGUUUUAUGUCAACUUGACACAAGCUAGAGUCAUUUGGGAAGAGGGAACCGCAGUUGAGAAACACCCCCACCAGACUGGCCUGUGGGUAAGCCUGUGAAGCAUUUUCUUGAUUGAUGAUUGAUGAUUGACGUGAGAGGUCCCUGCCCACUAGGGGUGGUGCCCCCAAGUCCUGGGUUGUGUAAGAAGUCAGGUGGAGCAAGCCAGUAAGCAGCACUGUUCUGUGGCCUCUGCAUCAGCCAGGUUCCUGCCCUGAUUUCUUUCAGUGAUGGAGGGUGACCUGAGCGCUGUAAACUGAAAUAAACCCUUUCUUCCCCAA